GACGAACGCUGGCGGCGUGCCUAAUACAUGCAAGUCGAACGCUGAAGAGAGGAGCUUGCUCUUCUUGGAUGAGUUGCGCACGGGUGAGUAACGCGUAGGUAACCUGCCUUGUAGCGGGGGAUAACUAUUGGAAACGAUAGCUAAUACCGCAUAACAAUGGAUGACACAUGUCAUUUAUUUGAAAGGGGCAAUUGCUCCACUACAAGAUGGACCUGCGUUGUAUUAGCUAGUAGGUGAGGUAAUGGCUCACCUAGGCGACGAUACAUAGCCGACCUGAGAGGGUGAUCGGCCACACUGGGACUGAGACACGGCCCAGACUCCUACGGGAGGCAGCAGUAGGGAAUCUUCGGCAAUGGGGGCAACCCUGACCGAGCAACGCCGCGUGAGUGAAGAAGGUUUUCGGAUCGUAAAGCUCUGUUGUAAGUCAAGAACGGGUGUGAGAGUGGAAAGUUCACACUGUGACGGUAGCUUACCAGAAAGGGACGGCUAACUACGUG
This 497-nucleotide ribosomal RNA is filed under the name uncultured bacterium. RNAcentral describes it as "partial 16S ribosomal RNA". It matches the Rfam family "Bacterial small subunit ribosomal RNA", at positions 28 to 507 of the family's 1533-position model. The record is from RNAcentral.